RNAcentral lists this ribosomal RNA (3027 nucleotides) under Salmonella enterica subsp. enterica. RNAcentral's name for it is "23S ribosomal RNA". It matches the Rfam family "Bacterial large subunit ribosomal RNA". Lineage: Bacteria; Pseudomonadati; Pseudomonadota; Gammaproteobacteria; Enterobacterales; Enterobacteriaceae. The record is from RNAcentral.
GGGUUGUGAGGUUAAGCGACUAAGCGUACACGGUGGAUGCCCUGGCAGUCAGAGGCGAUGAAGGGCGUGCUAAUCUGCGAUAAGCGCCGGUAAGGUGAUAUGAACCGUUAUAACCGGCGAUACCCGAAUGGGGAAACCCAGUGUGACUCGUCACACUAUCAUUAACUGAAUCCAUAGGUUAAUGAGGCGAACCGGGGGAACUGAAACAUCUAAGUACCCCGAGGAAAAGAAAUCAACCGAGAUUCCCCCAGUAGCGGCGAGCGAACGGGGAGGAGCCCAGAGCCUGAAUCAGCAUGUGUGUUAGUGGAAGCGUCUGGAAAGGCGCGCGAUACAGGGUGACAGCCCCGUACACAAAAGCGCAUGUGCUGUGAGCUCGAUGAGUAGGGCGGGACACGUGAUAUCCUGUCUGAAUAUGGGGGGACCAUCCUCCAAGGCUAAAUACUCCUGACUGACCGAUAGUGAACCAGUACCGUGAGGGAAAGGCGAAAAGAACCCCGGCGAGGGGAGUGAAAAAGAACCUGAAACCGUGUACGUACAAGCAGUGGGAGCCCCACCACUAAGCCAGUGGUGAACUCCACAUACGCAUCCUUUGCUGAGGAUACGGUUAACGGAGCGAAAGCGACGUUCAACCUCAAAAGAAGCAGAGGGGGCUUAGUGGUGGGGUGACUGCGUACCUUUUGUAUAAUGGGUCAGCGACUUAUAUUCUGUAGCAAGGUUAACCGAAUAGGGGAGCCGCAGGGAAACCGAGUCUUAACCGGGCGUUAAGUUGCAGGGUAUAGACCCGAAACCCGGUGAUCUAGCCAUGGGCAGGUUGAAGGUUGGGUAACACUAACUGGAGGACCGAACCGACUAAUGUUGAAAAAUUAGCGGAUGACCUGUGGCUGGGGGUGAAAGGCCAAUCAAACCGGGAGAUAGCUGGUUCUCCCCGAAAGCUAUUUAGGUAGCGCCUCGUGAAUUCAUCUCCGGGGGUAGAGCACUGUUUCGGCUAGGGGGCCAUCCCGGCUUACCAACCCGAUGCAAACUGCGAAUACCGGAGAAUGUUAUCACGGGAGACACACGGCGGGUGCUAACGUCCGUCGUGAAGAGGGAAACAACCCAGACCGCCAGCUAAGGUCCCAAAGUCAUGGUUAAGUGGGAAACGAUGUGGGAAGGCCCAGACAGCCAGGAUGUUGGCUUAGAAGCAGCCAUCAUUUAAAGAAAGCGUAAUAGCUCACUGGUCGAGUCGGCCUGCGCGGAAGAUGUAACGGGGCUAAACCAUGCACCGAAGCUGCGGCAGCGACACUAUGUGUUGUUGGGUAGGGGAGCGUUCUGUAAGCCUGUGAAGGUGUGUCGUGAGGCAUGCUGGAGGUAUCAGAAGUGCGAAUGCUGACAUAAGUAACGAUAAAGCGGGUGAAAAGCCCGCUCGCCGGAAGACCAAGGGUUCCUGUCCAACGUUAAUCGGGGCAGGGUGAGUCGACCCCUAAGGCGAGGCCGAAAGGCGUAGUCGAUGGGAAACGGGUUAAUAUUCCCGUACUUGGUGUUACUGCGAAGGGGGGACGGAGAAGGCUAUGUUGGCCGGGCGACGGUUGUCCCGGUUUAAGCGUGUAGGUGUGUGUUCCAGGUAAAUCCGGUUCACUUUAACACUGAGGCGUGACGACGAGGCACUACGGUGCUGAAGCAACAAAUGCCCUGCUUCCAGGAAAAGCCUCUAAGCAUCAGGUAACAUCAAAUCGUACCCCAAACCGACACAGGUGGUCAGGUAGAGAAUACCAAGGCGCUUGAGAGAACUCGGGUGAAGGAACUAGGCAAAAUGGUGCCGUAACUUCGGGAGAAGGCACGCUGACACGUAGGUGAAGUGAUUUACUCACGGAGCUGAAGUCAGUCGAAGAUACCAGCUGGCUGCAACUGUUUAUUAAAAACACAGCACUGUGCAAACACGAAAGUGGACGUAUACGGUGUGACGCCUGCCCGGUGCCGGAAGGUUAAUUGAUGGGGUCAGCGCAAGCGAAGCUCCUGAUCGAAGCCCCGGUAAACGGCGGCCGUAACUAUAACGGUCCUAAGGUAGCGAAAUUCCUUGUCGGGUAAGUUCCGACCUGCACGAAUGGCGUAAUGAUGGCCAGGCUGUCUCCACCCGAGACUCAGUGAAAUUGAACUCGCUGUGAAGAUGCAGUGUACCCGCGGCAAGACGGAAAGACCCCGUGAACCUUUACUAUAGCUUGACACUGAACAUUGAGCCUUGAUGUGUAGGAUAGGUGGGAGGCUUUGAAGCGUGGACGCCAGUCUGCGUGGAGCCGACCUUGAAAUACCACCCUUUAAUGUUUGAUGUUCUAACGUGGACCCGUUACCCGGGUUGCGGACAGUGUCUGGUGGGUAGUUUGACUGGGGCGGUCUCCUCCUAAAGAGUAACGGAGGAGCACGAAGGUUGGCUAAUCCUGGUCGGACAUCAGGAGGUUAGUGCAAUGGCAUAAGCCAGCUUGACUGUGAGCGUGACGGCGCGAGCAGGUGCGAAAGCAGGUCAUAGUGAUCCGGUGGUUCUGAAUGGAAGGGCCAUCGCUCAACGGAUAAAAGGUACUCCGGGGAUAACAGGCUGAUACCGCCCAAGAGUUCAUAUCGACGGCGGUGUUUGGCACCUCGAUGUCGGCUCAUCACAUCCUGGGGCUGAAGUAGGUCCCAAGGGUAUGGCUGUUCGCCAUUUAAAGUGGUACGCGAGCUGGGUUUAGAACGUCGUGAGACAGUUCGGUCCCUAUCUGCCGUGGGCGCUGGAGAACUGAGGGGGGCUGCUCCUAGUACGAGAGGACCGGAGUGGACGCAUCACUGGUGUUCGGGUUGUCAUGCCAAUGGCACUGCCCGGUAGCUAAAUGCGGAAGAGAUAAGUGCUGAAAGCAUCUAAGCACGAAACUUGCCCCGAGAUGAGUUCUCCCUGAGACUUUAAGUCUCCUGAAGGAACGUUGAAGACGACGACGUUGAUAGGCCGGGUGUGUAAGCGCAGCGAUGCGUUGAGCUAACCGGUACUAAUGAACCGUGAGGCUUAACCUUACAACGCCGAAG